AACUAGGAUAUGUUUUUCAGUAUCCAUUCAUUCAUUAAGAGGUUGAUUAGGCUCCAUUUCAUAUUUUAUCCCAUUUAAGUUUUAGCAUUUUAAGGCAAAAUGUUAUUAUUAUUUAGAUUUGGAAAUCUUUCUCAAAUUAUUCAGCAUAUUAUUUUUCCAUUAACUUCUCUGAUGCACAGAAGAAAAUCGAACAAGUUCUUUUUUUUUUCAAACAAGUUCUUAAUU
RNAcentral lists this long non-coding RNA (225 nucleotides) under Bos taurus (domestic cattle). RNAcentral's name for it is "long non-coding RNA NONBTAT008359". Lineage: Eukaryota; Metazoa; Chordata; Mammalia; Artiodactyla; Bovidae. The record is from RNAcentral.